CUCCAUCUUCUGCAUCAUCUUCCAACUCCUUUAAGAUCGAGGAACUCAAAGAGGAGGACGCCAGUGGAUCAAGUUAGCUUCCUUUAAUCCAACAAAAACAUAUAUAUAUAUAUAUAUAUAUAUAUAUAUAUAUAUAUAUAUAUAUAUAUAUAUAUAUAUAUAUAUAUAUAUAUAUAUAAAAUUUAUUUGAAGAGUCGUUAGACGAGCACCUUGUGUUCAUGGCUUCCAACCUCGUUCUCUGAUGGAAGAAGCCAGCGGUGCGUUGUCUCCUUGUAGAGUCUGCCGGAAGGGCCAUCACAGUGGUUCUCUCAAUCAUAGACAUCGGCAUGUCACCAGAUGCUUCUAUCAGAGCAGGACAAGUGCUGCCAUGGAUUAAAUGAACAACACUGCUGCUGCAGCAGAUCAUGACAACUGCUUGCACUGCUUCUGGUUGAUGAUUCCCAUCAGGUUAUGGCCAGCGGGGACAGAUGUGAAAGUUAUUGGGCUAACGUCCUUCUCCAGUAGGAGUUCGGGAGAACUGUAGAUGUUGGAUGGAUAGACGAUAUCAGUUGUACAUUUAACAUGUCCUCCGAAGAGAAAAAGGAGUGCACAGUGGGUAGUGAUUGCCCCCUUUCUCGAGGAAGGUCGCUUACCAUUGCUUGUAAGUUUUCAUUUCAUGGUGGUAGACUUCUUGCAGGGUCGAACAAGUUGUUUCCCUGAUUCAACAUCAUACCGAAAUCUUGAAACGAAAAUAGCUGUCAGACAACUGGAUUCUGUACCGAGCAUACCUCUUGUUGUUGGAUGCAUGCAGCACGAUUACCAGCUCAUCCUAGAAAGCCAGCAGUCAGAUGUUCAUUUCAGUGCCAAUAAAAUUUCUAUUAUUCUCUUAUCCUAUAAUAACAAAGUCAAUUAUUCUAUAUGAAUAUUUUGCCACCAUUAAGAUAAUUAUUCUGUUAUACCAUACAUACAUGGAAAUAUAUGUCACAAAAAGAUUAAU
RNAcentral lists this long non-coding RNA (976 nucleotides) under Musa acuminata (dwarf banana). Its description in RNAcentral is "long non-coding RNA (MACU_LNC003078)". Lineage: Eukaryota; Viridiplantae; Streptophyta; Magnoliopsida; Zingiberales; Musaceae. The record is from RNAcentral.